GACGAACGCUGGCGGCGUGCCUAACACAUGCAAGUCAACUUGACUGAAGGAGCAAUCUGACAGUAGAGUGGCGCAAGGGUGUGUAACGCGUAAGUAACUUGCCCAAGGUAAGGAAUAACGUCGAGAAAUCGGCGCUAAUACCUCACAAUGCAGCGGAUCCGCAUGGAUAUGUUGUUAAAGGUUUACCGCCUUGGGAUAGGCUUGCGUCUGAUUAGCUAGUUGGUGUGGUAACGGCACACCAAGGCUACGAUCAGUAACUGGUCUGAGAGGAUGAUCAGUCACACUGGAACUGAGACACGGUCCAGACUCCUACGGGAGGCAGCAGUGAGGAAUAUUGGGCAAUGCUCGAAAGAGUGACCCAGCAACGCCGCGUGGAGGAUGAAGGUAUUCUAUAUCGUAAACUCCUGUGAGAGCAGACGAAAGACAGAUUAUUAAUCUGGAUGACUGUAUGCUCAGAGGAAGCCCCGGCUAACUACG
This 477-nucleotide ribosomal RNA is filed under the name uncultured bacterium. RNAcentral describes it as "bacterial SSU rRNA". It matches the Rfam family "Bacterial small subunit ribosomal RNA", at positions 28 to 505 of the family's 1533-position model. The record is from RNAcentral.